UGAGGAAUUUUGGACAAUGGGCGAAAGCCUGAUCCAGCAAUGCCGCGUGUGUGAAGAAGGCCUUCGGGUUGUAAAGCACUUUUGUCCGGAAAGAAAUGGCUCUGGUUAAUACCUGGGGUCGAUGACGGUACCGGAAGAAUAAGGACCGGCUAACUACGUGCCAGCAGCCGCGGUAAUACGUAGGGUCCAAGCGUUAAUCGGAAUUACUGGGCGUAAAGCGUGCGCAGGCGGUUGUGCAAGACCGAUGUGAAAUCCCCGAGCUUAACUUGGGAAUUGCAUUGGUGACUGCACGGCUAGAGUGUGUCAGAGGGGGGUAGAAUUCCACGUGUAGCAGUGAAAUGCGUAGAGAUGUGGAGGGAAUACCGAUGGCGAAGGCAGCCCCCUGGGAUAACACUGACGCUCAUGCACGAAAGCGUGGGGAGCAAACAGGAUUAGAUACCCUGGUAGUCCACGCCCUAAACGAUGUCAACUAGUUGUUGGGGAUUCAUUUCCUUAGUAACGUAGCUAACGCGUGAAGUUGACCGCCUGGGGAGUACGGUCGCAAGAUUAAAAGCUCAAAA
RNAcentral lists this ribosomal RNA (560 nucleotides) under uncultured bacterium. Its description in RNAcentral is "partial 16S ribosomal RNA". It matches the Rfam family "Bacterial small subunit ribosomal RNA", at positions 355 to 906 of the family's 1533-position model. The record is from RNAcentral.